CCAGCCUGCCCAGUGACCCUGUUCAACGGCCGCGGUAUCCUAACCGUGCGAAGGUAGCGUAAUCACUUGUUCUUUAAAUGUGGACUAGUAUGAAUGGCAUCACGAAGGUUAUACUGUCUCCUUUUUCUAAUCAGUGAAACUAAUCUCCCCGUGAAGAAGCGAGGAUAAAAAUAUAAGACGAGAAGACCCUAUGGAGCUUUAAACAAAGUAGCACUCGCCACAUAAAUGAAAAAUUCCAGAAUCACCAUCUUCCUCAGGCAAUCUGACUACACGUUUUUGGUUGGGGUGACCGCGGAGUAUAACACAACCUCCAUGUUGAAAGAAAGCUCUCUAAACUAAGAGCUACACCUCUAAGUAUCAAAAGAUUGACAUCCAUUGACCCAAUAAAUUUGAACAACGAACCAAGUUACCCUAGGGAUAACAGCGCAAUCCACUUCAAGAGCUCCUAUCGACAAGUGGGUUUACGACCUCGAUGUUGGAUCAGGGUCUCCCAGUGGUGCAGCCGCUACUAAAGGUUCGUUUGUUCAACGAUUAAAACCCUACGUGAUCUGAGUCAGAC
RNAcentral lists this ribosomal RNA (559 nucleotides) under Duttaphrynus melanostictus (Asian common toad). RNAcentral's name for it is "partial 16S ribosomal RNA". It matches the Rfam family "Bacterial large subunit ribosomal RNA", at positions 1854 to 2616 of the family's 2925-position model. Lineage: Eukaryota; Metazoa; Chordata; Amphibia; Anura; Bufonidae. The record is from RNAcentral.